CCCUUAGAUGUCCUGGGCCGCACGCGCGCUACACUGAUGCAUUCAACGAGUUUUUCCUUGGCCGAGAGGCCUGGGCAAUCUUUUGAACGUGCAUCGUGAUAGGGAUAGAUUAUUGCAAUUAUUAAUCUUGAACGAGGAAUUCCUAGUAAACGCAGAUCAUCAGUCUGCAUUGAUUACGUCCCUGCCCUUUGUACACACCGCCCGUCGCUCCUACCGAUUGAAUGGUCCGGUGAAGCGUUCGGACCGUGGCCUUUGGACGGUUCGCCGUCUGUUGGCUGCGGGAAGUUCGUUAAACCUUAUCAUUUAGAGGAAGGAGAAGUCGUAACA
RNAcentral lists this ribosomal RNA (327 nucleotides) under uncultured eukaryote. RNAcentral's name for it is "partial 18S ribosomal RNA". It matches the Rfam family "Eukaryotic small subunit ribosomal RNA", at positions 1470 to 1796 of the family's 1831-position model. The record is from RNAcentral.